UAGAGUUUGAUCCUGGCUCAAAUUGAACGCUGGCGGCAGGCCUAACACAUGCAAGUCGAGCGGCAGCGGGAAAGUAGCUUGCUACUUUUGCCGGCGAGCGGCGGACGGGUGAGUAAUGCCUGGGGAUCUGCCCAGUCGAGGGGGAUAACUACUGGAAACGGUAGCUAAUACCGCAUACGCCCUACGGGGGAAAGCAGGGGACCUUCGGGCCUUGCGCGAUUGGAUGAACCCAGGUGGGAUUAGCUAGUUGGUGAGGUAAUGGCUCACCAAGGCGACGAUCCCUAGCUGGUCUGAGAGGAUGAUCAGCCACACUGGAACUGAGACACGGUCCAGACUCCUACGGGAGGCAGCAGUGGGGAAUAUUGCACAAUGGGGGAAACCCUGAUGCAGCCAUGCCGCGUGUGUGAAGAAGGCCUUCGGGUUGUAAAGCACUUUCAGCGAGGAGGAAAGGUUGGUAGCUAAUAACUGCCAGCUGUGACGUUACUCGCAGAAGAAGCACCGGCUAACUCCGUGCCAGCAGCCGCGGUAAUACGGAGGGCGCAAGCGUUAAUCGGAAUUACUGGGCGUAAAGCGCACGCAGGCGGUUGGAUAAGUUAGAUGUGAAAGCCCCGGGCUCAACCUGGGAAUUGCAUUUAAAACUGUCCAGCUAGAGUCUUGUAGAGGGGGGUAGAAUUCCAGGUGUAGCGGUGAAAUGCGUAGAGAUCUGGAGGAAUACCGGUGGCGAAGGCGGCCCCCUGGACAAAGACUGACGCUCAGGUGCGAAAGCGUGGGGAGCAAACAGGAU
This 784-nucleotide ribosomal RNA is filed under the name uncultured bacterium. RNAcentral describes it as "bacterial SSU rRNA". It matches the Rfam family "Bacterial small subunit ribosomal RNA", at positions 1 to 778 of the family's 1533-position model. The record is from RNAcentral.